GAUGAACGCUCGCUACAGGCUUAACACAUGCAAGUCGAGGGGCAGCGGUAUCGAAAGCUUGCUUUCGGUAGCCGGCGACCGGCGCACGGGUGAGUAACGCGUAUCGAACCUGCCUCAUACUCGGGAAUAGCCUUGCGAAAGUAAGAUUAAUGCCCGGUGUUUUCAGAGUCCCGCAUGAGGCUUUGAACAAAGAUUCAUCGGUAUGAGAUGGCGAUGCGUCCCAUUAGCUUGUUGGCGGGGUAACGGCCCACCAAGGCAUCGAUGGGUAGGGGUUCUGAGAGGAAGGUCCCCCACAUUGGAACUGAGACACGGUCCAAACUCCUACGGGAGGCAGCAGUGAGGAAUAUUGGUCAAUGGGCGGAAGCCUGAACCAGCCAAGUAGCGUGCAGGAAGACGGCCCUCCGGGUUGUAAACUGCUUUUAGUUGGGAAUAAAACGGGGCUCGUGAGCCCCCUUGUAUGUACCAUCAGAAAAAGGACCGGCUAAUUCCGUG
Molecule: ribosomal RNA, 492 nt
Filed under: uncultured bacterium
Lineage: Bacteria
Description: partial 16S ribosomal RNA
Rfam family: Bacterial small subunit ribosomal RNA
Source: RNAcentral